GACUCUCUCUUGUUUGUGGAUCCUGUUCCCAGUUAACUCUUCGGAUGUGGAGUCCACAUCGUUUACCUUGAAAAAAUUAGAGUGUUCAAAGCAGGCGUUUGCUUGAAUAUAUUAGCAUGGAAUAAUGGAAUAGGACGCUGGUUCUAUUUUGUUGGUUUUGAGAACCAGAGUAAUGAUUAAUAGGGACAGUUGGGGGCAUUCAUAUUUCAUUGUCAGAGGUGAAAUUCUUGGAUUUAUGAAAGAUGAACUUCUGCGAAAGCAUUUGCCAAGGAUGUUUUCAUUAAUCAAGAACGAAAGUUAGGGGAUCGAAGACGAUCACAUACCGUCGUAUUCUUAACCAUAAACUAUGCCCACUAUGGAUUGGGCGUGGUUUGCUCAUUGACCCGCUC
This 389-nucleotide ribosomal RNA is filed under the name uncultured eukaryote. RNAcentral's name for it is "SSU rRNA". It matches the Rfam family "Eukaryotic small subunit ribosomal RNA", at positions 690 to 1081 of the family's 1831-position model. The record is from RNAcentral.